UCUCCGUAGGUGAACCUGCGGAGGGAUCAUUACCGAGUGAGGGCCCUCGCGGCCCGACCUCCAACCCCAUGUUUUCCGACUCUGUUGCCUCGGGGGCGACCCGGCCUUCGGGCGUCGGGGCCCCCGGUGGACCAUUAACACUGCAUCUGUGCGUCUGAGUGAUUAAAUCAAUCAAUUAAAACUUUCAACAACGGAUCUCUUGGUUCUGGCAUCGAUGAAGAACGCAGC
This 228-nucleotide unclassified non-coding RNA is filed under the name uncultured fungus. Its description in RNAcentral is "sequence contains ITS1, 5.8S rRNA gene". The stretch from base 180 to 228 matches the Rfam family "5.8S ribosomal RNA", at positions 1 to 49 of the family's 154-position model. The record is from RNAcentral. Lineage: Eukaryota; Fungi.